AUAUAAAAGGGAAAAAAAGAAGUGAGGUUACGUCUGAUAUCAUUCUGGCGCAUAAGUAAUACCGAAGUGGGAGGAGGAAAAUACGUGACGCAGUUUCGAUUACCACCAUGGAUUAAAAAUACCAAGCAUGGAUACUAUACUACUUUGUGUACUCUUUGUGGUAUAUUUUGUUCCAAUUGAGUCGUGCACAUCGCGACACUUUGUGUCUUCUUGUGUACGUUUGUGUUAAAAAGUGUAAAAUAAUUGGAAAGCA
Molecule: long non-coding RNA, 253 nt
Organism: Vollenhovia emeryi
Lineage: Eukaryota; Metazoa; Arthropoda; Insecta; Hymenoptera; Formicidae
Exons: 2
Source: RefSeq, a predicted model, not a curated record